AGAUCAUGUCAAGAGGACAUCUCCUAAUUAGUUACUUGUAUCUUUUCCAAGUUUCAUAGAGGGAUUCACCCUCCUUCUGUCUAAAGAUUUGUACUUUCACCCUGAGUUU
This is a small nucleolar RNA of Arachis stenosperma, 109 nucleotides long. The record is from RefSeq and is a predicted model, not a curated record. NCBI's taxonomy places the organism in Eukaryota, Viridiplantae, Streptophyta, Magnoliopsida, Fabales, Fabaceae.